AAGGUUUCCAGAGUAAAGCUGAUCUGCUCUGGGUAAGUCGGGACCUAAGGCGAGGUCGAAAGACGUAGUCGAUGGAUAACAGGUUGAAAUUCCUGUACCGCAUAUAAACAGAACUGUGGGGACACAGACAGGGAAUGGAAUCCGGGAAUGGAAAUCCCGGUGCAAGCGAGGUAGGAGUGCUGUUGGCAAAUCCGCAGCACGAUCUGAAGACGUGACGCGUACCGAACAUAAGUAGGGAAGUCCAGGCCCCUGGCUGUCAAGAAAAGCCGCUAUUGUUUUAUAUGUGCCCGUACCGCAAACCGACACAGGUGGAUGAGGAGAGAAUCCUAAGGCCGACGGGAGAAGUAUUGUUAAGGAACUCGGCAAAAUGACUCCGUAACUUCGGGAGAAGGAGUGCCAUGAGAGUGGCCGCAGAGAAAUGGCCCAAGCAACUGUUUAGCAAAAACACAGGUCUAUGCAAAACCGCAAGGUGAAGUAUAUGGGCUGACGCCUGCCCGGUGCUGGAAGGUUAAGGGGAGAGGUUAGCGCAAGCGAAGCUUUGAACUUAAGCCCCAGUAAACGGCGGCCGUAACAAUAACGGUCCUAAGGUAGCGAAAUUCCUUGUCGGGUAAGUUCCGACCCGCACGAAAGGCGUAAUGAUUUGGGCACUGUCUCAACGAUACACCCGGUGAAAUUGAAAUACCAGUGAAGAUGCUGGUUACCUGCGCCAGGACGGAAAGACCCCAUGGAGCUUUACUCCAGUUUGAUACUGGGAUUCGGCAUGGUAUGUACAGGAUAGGUGGGAGACUGAGAAGGUAUGACGUCAGUUGUACCGGAGUCGCUGUUGGGAUACCACCCUUACCAUGUUGGAUUUCUAACCUGUGGCCGUAAGCCGGUCAGGGGACAAUGUCAGGCGGGGAGUUUGACUGGGGCGGUCGCCUCCGAAAGGGUAUCGGAGGCGCUCAAAGGUUCCCUCAGAAUGGUUGGAAACCAUUCGAAGAGUGCAAAGGCAGAAGGGAGCUUGACUGUGACACCGACGGGUGGAGCAGGUACGAAAGUAGGACUUAGUGAUCCGGUGGUAUAAAGUGGGAUUGCCAUCGCUCAACGGAUAAAAGCUACCCUGGGGAUAACAGGCUUAUCACUCCCAAGAGUUCACAUCGACGGAGUGGUUUGGCACCUCGAUGUCGGCUCAUCGCAUCCUGGAGCUGUAGCAGGUUCCAAGGGUUGGGCUGUUCGCCCAUUAAAGCGGUACGCGAGCUGGGUUCAGAACGUCGUGAGACAGUUCGGUCCCUAUCCGGCGCAGGCGGAGGAAAUUUGAUAGGAGCUGUCCUUAGUACGAGAGGACCGGGAUGGACGGACCGCUGGUGUAUCUGUUGCACUGCCAAGUGCAUAGCAGAGUAGCCAAGUCUGGAAGGGAUAAACGCUGAAGGCAUCUAAGCGUGAAGCCCCCCUAAAGAUAAGAUUUCCCAUACCAUAAGGUAGUAAGACCCCUUGAAGACGACGAGGUAGAUAGGGCAGAGGUGGAAGUACGGUAACGUAUGGAGCUGACUGUUACUAAUCGGUCGAGGCUUUAACC
This 1555-nucleotide ribosomal RNA is filed under the name metagenome. RNAcentral describes it as "bacterial LSU rRNA". It matches the Rfam family "Bacterial large subunit ribosomal RNA", at positions 1347 to 2925 of the family's 2925-position model. The record is from RNAcentral.